UGGAGAGUUUGAUCCUGGCUCAGAUUGAACGCUGGCGGCAGGCCUAACACAUGCAAGUCGAGCGGAUGAAGGGAGCUUGCUCCUUGAUUUAGCGGCGGACGGGUGAGUAAUGCCUAGGAAUCUGCCUGGUAGUGGGGGAUAACGUUCCGAAAGGAACGCUAAUACCGCAUACGUCCUACGGGAGAAAGCAGGGGACCUUCGGGCCUUGCGCUAUCAGAUGAGCCUAGGUCGGAUUAGCUAGUUGGUGAGGUAAUGGCUCACCAAGGCGACGAUCCGUAACUGGUCUGAGAGGAUGAUCAGUCACACUGGAACUGAGACACGGUCCAGACUCCUACGGGAGGCAGCAGUGGGGAAUAUUGGACAAUGGGCGAAAGCCUGAUCCAGCCAUGCCGCGUGUGUGAAGAAGGUCUUCGGAUUGUAAAGCACUUUAAGUUGGGAGGAAGGGCAACCUAAUACGUUAGUGUUUUGACGUUACCGACAGAAUAAGAGACACCGGCUAACUUCGUGCCAGCAGCCGCGGUAAUACGAAGGGUGCAAGCGUUAAUCGGAAUUACUGGGCGUAAAGCGCGCGUAGGUGGUUCGUUAAGUUGGAUGUGAAAGCCCCGGGCUCAACCUGGGAACUGCAUCCAAAACUGGCGAGCUAGAGUACGGUAGAGGGUGGUGGAAUUUCCUGUGUAGCGGUGAAAUGCGUAGAUAUAGGAAGGAACACCAGUGGCGAAGGCGACCACCUGGACUGAUACUGACACUGAGGUGCGAAAGCGUGGGGAGCAAACAGGAUUAGAUACCCUGGUAGUCCACGCCGUAAACGAUGUCAACUAGCCGUUGGGUUCCUUGAGAACUUAGUGGCGCAGCUAACGCAUUAAGUUGACCGCCUGGGGAGUACGGCCGCAAGGUUAAAACUCAAAUGAAUUGACGGGGGCCCGCACAAGCGGUGGAGCAU
This 940-nucleotide ribosomal RNA is filed under the name Ectopseudomonas oleovorans. RNAcentral's name for it is "bacterial SSU rRNA". It matches the Rfam family "Bacterial small subunit ribosomal RNA", at positions 1 to 940 of the family's 1533-position model. Lineage: Bacteria; Pseudomonadati; Pseudomonadota; Gammaproteobacteria; Pseudomonadales; Pseudomonadaceae. The record is from RNAcentral.